Molecule: long non-coding RNA, 628 nt
Organism: Helianthus annuus (common sunflower)
Lineage: Eukaryota; Viridiplantae; Streptophyta; Magnoliopsida; Asterales; Asteraceae
Exons: 3
Source: RefSeq, a predicted model, not a curated record
GCAUACUCAGUAAUAGAGAAGUUAUAGCAGUGAAUCAAGAUAGCCUUGGAGUCCAAGGAAAGAAGGUUAAGAAAAAUGGUGAUUUGGAGGUCUGGGCUAGCCCACUUGCACAUAACAAAGUUGUUGUGAUUCUAUGGAACAGAAAAAGCUCAACAGCCGAAAUUACAGCAUAUUGGUCCGACAUAGGACUCAACUCGACCACAGUCGUUAAAGCUCGUGACUUGUGGGCGUACAAGACUCAAAGAUCAGUGAAGGGACAGAUCUCGGAAACUGUAGAAUCUCACGCUUGUAAGAUGUACGUUCUUACUCCACGAUAAGGAGUUUAGAGUACAUGACCAGUUAACUGCAGAUUGUGUUAUGUGUUAUGACACGUUUGUCGUAAAAAUAAGAUUUGCGAAGGCAAAGCCAAAAUAAAGCUAAUAAACAGAGAUAUGUUCUCUUUUUGAGUUUUUAAUGAUGUUUUUAAUGCGUUUUUAUCAUCUAGAAUUGUCUGAAUAUAAGCAUUUUUUUUCAUUUAAACUUUUUAACUAGUACGAGUUAUUGAUAGUAUAACUAUAACUAUUUUAAUAAUAACAUAUGUACUGAAAAAAGUGCCAAUCAAAUGAUAUUCGCCUAAUCAAGAUUUUUU